GCCGACGUGGUGGAAUUGGUAGACACGCCACCUUGAGGGGGUGGUGAGCUUUGCUCGUGCCGGUUCAACUCCGGCCGCCGGUACCA
RNAcentral lists this transfer RNA (86 nucleotides) under Pseudomonadales bacterium. Its description in RNAcentral is "tRNA-Leu". It matches the Rfam family "tRNA". From Rfam's summary of the family: Transfer RNA (tRNA) molecules are approximately 80 nucleotides in length. Their secondary structure includes four short double-helical elements and three loops (D, anti-codon, and T loops). RNAcentral also lists the same sequence under 6 other names. Lineage: Bacteria; Pseudomonadati; Pseudomonadota; Gammaproteobacteria; Pseudomonadales. The record is from RNAcentral.